This 443-nucleotide ribosomal RNA is filed under the name uncultured bacterium. RNAcentral's name for it is "bacterial SSU rRNA". It matches the Rfam family "Bacterial small subunit ribosomal RNA", at positions 28 to 493 of the family's 1533-position model. The record is from RNAcentral.
GAUGAACGCUGGCGGCGUGCUUAAUACAUGCAAGUCGAACGGUACUCGCAAGAGUAUAGUGGCGAACGGGUGAGUAACGCGUUGGUGACCUGCCCCGAAGAGAGGGAUAACAGAUCGAAAGGUCUGCUAAUACCCGCAUGCUUUCACGGAGAUUAGAAUUCUGUGAAGAAAUGGCGAAAGUCGCUUCGGGAGGGACCUGCGUCCCAUCAGCUAGUUGGUGAGGUAACGGCCCACCAAGGCUAUGACGGGUAGGGGACCUGAGAGGGUGGCCCCCCACAAUGGAACUGAAACACGGUCCAUACACCUACGGGUGGCAGCAGUAGGGAAUAUUGGUUAAUGGGCGAAAGCCUGACCCAGCAACGCCGCGUGAGUGAUGAAGGCCUUCGGGUUGUAAAACUCUUUUUAUGGGGUAUGAGGAAGGACAGUACUCAUAGAAUAAGUAC